RNAcentral lists this small RNA (771 nucleotides) under Histoplasma capsulatum. RNAcentral describes it as "hypothetical RNA". Lineage: Eukaryota; Fungi; Ascomycota; Eurotiomycetes; Onygenales; Ajellomycetaceae. The record is from RNAcentral. RNAcentral also lists the same sequence under 1 other name.
AUCUAUCACUGUUAAUCUAUUACUGCUGUCAAUCUAUCUAUUGCUGCUAAUCUAUCACUGUCAAUCUAUCUAUCGCUGCUAAUCUAUCACUGCUAAUCUAUCACUGCCAAUCUAUUGCUGCUAAUCUAUCACUGCUAAUCUACCACUGCUAAUCUACCGCUGCCAAUCUAUCUACCGCUGUCAAUCUAUCUAUCGCUGCUAAUCUAUCGCUGUCAAUCUAUCUACUGCUGUCAAUCUAUCUAUCACUGCCAAUCUACCUACCGCUGCCAAUCUAUCUACUGCUGCUAAUCUAUCUACCACUGUCAAUCUAUCUACUGCUGUUAAUCUAUUUAUUACUGCUAAUCUAUCACUGCUAAUCUAUUGCUGUCAAUCUAUCUAUCACUGCCAAUCUAUCUAUCACUGCUAAUCUAUCACUGCUAAUCUAUCGCUGCUAAUCUAUUGCUGCUAAUCUACUGCUGUCAAUCUAUCUAUCACUGCCAAUCUAUCUAUCACUGCUAAUCUAUUGCUGCUAAUCUAUUGCUGCUAAUCUAUUACUGCUAAUCUAUCACUGCUAAUCUAUUGCUGUCAAUCUAUCUACCACUGUCAAUCUAUCUACUGCUAUCAAUCUAUCUAUUACUGUCAAUCUAUAUAGAGUAAAUUAUAGUUUUAUUUGAUUUCAUUUUAUAAAAUGAGAUUAAAUGAGAUCAGAAUCACUAAUUUAUUAGUAAAAUAUAAUCUGAGACUAGAUUUAUAAUAUAAACAGUAUAAAGUGACUAAUUUGCUAAACACUAU